Gavialis gangeticus (Gharial) is the source of this 1772-nucleotide long non-coding RNA. RefSeq lists it as uncharacterized. NCBI's taxonomy places the organism in Eukaryota, Metazoa, Chordata, Crocodylia, Gavialidae. The record is from RefSeq and is a predicted model, not a curated record. The transcript has 2 exons.
AAAAGAUAUCACCUAUGCCACAAGUUCUGAUUUCUGCUGAAAUUUAAGGCAGCUGAGUGGAGUGCCAUCUAAAUAAGGAGCUUUGAGCACCUGGCUGUGGUGGAGAGGUUAUUUGCUCAAGUGAAGUCCAUACUGAUACUCUGUCCUUACAAGGGAGGUGCAGCAGGCAGCAAAACACAGUGCCACACAGAGCAAAAGUGCCCAAAAUGUAUAGCACCUAUUCUGGGAUUCCUCUAGGGCUGCUCUUUCAGGUCACAGGAUUUCAGGGGCACAGCUGGGAAGUUGUUGCUUCCACCAUCCUCAAGGCCCAUUGAGUUUCCUAUUGGAAAUCCACUCAGAGGUUAUUUGGUUUUCAUACAGUGCCUGGAGCAUGCUAGAGGCUUUACAGCCAAUAAAAGGCAGAGCCCUUACCUUUACAAGCUUAAAUUAGACAUUGCACAGCAGACAAGAAAGCAAGGAAUGGGGCUGAGGGGGAAUGAGGCAAUGGGGCAGAUGUAAGAACAUAUGGUGGCUGUCUGGUCAUACAAGUUUCUGAAAAGGUCUUUUGUGGUUCACCUUUGCCAUACUACUUAUUAAGGUUAUUGCCACUGAUUAUCCCCUUAGACAUCUUAUCCAAAUCCCAUGCACUCUGACAGGGAUGUUUUUGGAAGUGAGGAUGGAUGGUCGCUGGCCUAAAGAUUUAGGGAACUAGUGUACAGCUUGGGAGAUGAGGACUUAGUGCUCACCUCAGAUUCCCUGUUACCUCAACAAGUGACUGAUGCCCACUUCCUCAAAAAGCAUCUAACUGAAGUCUAAACCACAUUGAGGAUCUGGACCUGUGCAAAGGGGUCAAUAGCAUGGACCUACCUCAGAGAAAGGUUGCAAGGAAAAAUACAUCAAAGGGCAUUUGUACAUGCCACAAUCUUUCAUGUUUAACCACUCACAACUGUGUUUGUACAAGUGGGAUUUCCCGCUGCUUUAAAAGUCUUUUUGAUGCAUUAAACUAAUGCUGCUUGGACAUGUUUUAUUUUGUGUAGCUGCCGCUUAUGCUGCCCUAUCUAUGGAUUCGUGUCAUGCAACAGUGACUCAAAGACUUGUAAUUACUUUCCAUUACCACCAGGCAGCACUGCGCUAUUUCUGUAGUGGCCAGUAGCUGCCACUGCUAUUUUUUUUCUGUUUUUUUUCCUGCCCAUCCAUCCCUCCCUCUCCCUGCUCCCACAGCUGACCACAGGCAGCCAGGGCACACCGUGUGGGGGCACAGAAUAAUUAAUAAAGGUACAUGGAGCAGCAACCCAUUAUAUUGCAAAGUUCUGUUACUGUUUACUACCCCCUGGCAGUUUUGUCCUUACUUCCACCAGGGGUAGUGUAUAUGUUCCCCAUACUCCAUGCUCCUGUGUCCCAGCCACCCAGGAUCCCUGCCUACUGUGCCUAUCACGGUAUUCAGCACUGCCAAGCGGCAUCACCAGAAUGAUAAGUUUGCAACUAUAUGGAGUGUGGUACCCCUUAACAAUUCAAUAUUUCAAACCUUCCUAUUUUUUAUAACUGAUAUUCCCAUUCCAGAACCAUGACAUAUAGUCCAGGUGGAUGCUGCCUGCCAGAUCCUCCCCCCAGGAUAUGAAGUAUCCCUGGUGAUAUACAGAACACUUUGGAGUUCUGAAAUUGAAAAUUUUCAGCAUUAAGAAGGAAAGCAUGAAUCAACACCCACCUGUUAGAAGCAACUUGCUUUCGUUAAAUAGGACUGGUUUUUCCACCUUUUUCUACCUCAUUUUAAAUAAAAUUUUAAAAUUAUGUCA